UCUUCAUAAAGAGAUCUGGUAGGGCCUGGAUCUGGGCGAGGUAGGUGCCUUUGUCAUUAUAGCUUAGGCGAAGUGACUGCAUGGUGUUCAUCAUCUUCUAAUUGGAGGCCAUGGUUUGGGCUAGUAUAAUAGGCUCUCGUCGACUUAGGGCAUCGACAACUACAUUCCUCUCCCAAGGUGAUAAAUGAUCUGACAAUCAUAAUCCUUUAGAAGAUCCAUCCAACAUCUUUGUCUCAUGUUUAACUCCUAUUGUGAAAAAUAUAUUUGAGACUCUUAUGGUCAGUGUAGAUUUUAAAGUUUGACCAUACAAACAAUGCUGCCAUAACUUCGGGGCAAAGAUAAUGGCUGCCAGUUCCAGGUCAUGGGUAGGGUAGUUCUACUCAUGGACUUUGAGCUGUUAGGAUCCAAAGGCGACUAAUCUGCCAUGCUGCAUCAAGACACACCCCAAAUUAAUAU
This 456-nucleotide long non-coding RNA is filed under the name Carica papaya (papaya). Its description in RNAcentral is "long non-coding RNA (CPAP_LNC010136)". Lineage: Eukaryota; Viridiplantae; Streptophyta; Magnoliopsida; Brassicales; Caricaceae. The record is from RNAcentral.